CCUACGGGUGACAGCAGUCGAGAAUCAUUCACAAUGGGGGAAACCCUGAUGCAGCGACGCCGCGUGUGGGAAGACGGUCCUCUGGAUUGUAAACCACUGUCCCCAGGGACGAAGAUGACGGUACCUGGGGGGGAAGCUCCGGCUAACUACGUGCCAGCAGCCGCGGUAAUACGUAGGGAGCGAGCGUUGUCCGGAAUUACUGGGUGUAAAGGGAGCGUAGGCGGGGAUGCAAGUUGGGUGUCAAAACUACCGGCUCAACUGGUAGUCGCACUCAAAACUGCAGCUCUUGAGUGAAGUAGAGGCAGGCGGAAUUCCUAGUGUAGCGGUGAAAUGCGUAGAUAUUAGGAGGAACACCAGUGGCGAAGGCGGCCUGCUGGGCUUUUACUGACGCUGAGGCUCGAAAGUGUGGGGAGCAAACAGGAUUAGAUACCCGAGUAGUC
This 440-nucleotide ribosomal RNA is filed under the name uncultured bacterium. RNAcentral's name for it is "partial 16S ribosomal RNA". It matches the Rfam family "Bacterial small subunit ribosomal RNA", at positions 338 to 795 of the family's 1533-position model. The record is from RNAcentral.